UACGAAGGGAGCUAGCGUUGUUCGGAAUCACUGGGCGUAAAGCGCACGUAGGCGGAUGUGUCAGUCAGGGGUGAAAUCCCGGAGCUCAACUUCGGAACUGCCUUUGAUACAGCACAUCUGGAGUCCGGAAGAGGUGGGUGGAAUUCCUAGUGUAGAGGUGAAAUUCGUAGAUAUUAGGAAGAACACCGGUGGCGAAGGCGGCCCACUGGUCCGGUACUGACGCUGAGGUGCGAAAGCGUGGGGAGCAAACAGGAUGAGAAACCCUU
Molecule: ribosomal RNA, 266 nt
Filed under: uncultured bacterium
Lineage: Bacteria
Description: partial 16S ribosomal RNA
Rfam family: Bacterial small subunit ribosomal RNA
Source: RNAcentral